CCUACGGGCGGCAGCAGUGGGGGAUAUUGCACAAUGGGGGGAACCCUGAUGCAGCGACGCCGCGUGGGUGAAGAAGCGCCUCGGCGCGUAAAGCCCUGUCAGCAGGGAAGAAAAUGACGGUACCUGAAGAAGAAGCCCCGGCUAACUACGUGCCAGCACCCGCGGUAAUACGUAGGGGGCAAGCGUUAUCCGGAUUUACUGGGUGAAGGGGGGCGCAGACGGCGAUGCAAGCGGGGAGUUAAAGCCCGGGGCCCAACCCCGGGACGGGUCUUGGAACUGCGGGGCUGGAGUGCAGGAGGGGCAGGCGGAAUUCCUGGUGUAGCGGUGAAAUGCGUAGAUAUCAGGAGGAACACCGGUGGCGAAGGUGGCCUGCUGGACUGCAACUGACGUUGAGGCCCGAAAGCGUGGGGAGCAAACAGGAUUAGAUACCCCUGUAGUC
RNAcentral lists this ribosomal RNA (439 nucleotides) under uncultured bacterium. Its description in RNAcentral is "partial 16S ribosomal RNA". It matches the Rfam family "Bacterial small subunit ribosomal RNA", at positions 338 to 795 of the family's 1533-position model. The record is from RNAcentral.